RNAcentral lists this ribosomal RNA (253 nucleotides) under uncultured bacterium. RNAcentral's name for it is "partial 16S ribosomal RNA". It matches the Rfam family "Bacterial small subunit ribosomal RNA", at positions 524 to 776 of the family's 1533-position model. The record is from RNAcentral.
UACGGAGGGAGCUAGCGUUGUUCGGAAUUACUGGGCGUAAAGCGCGCGUAGGCGGCUUUGUAAGUUAGAGGUGAAAGCCCGGGGCUCAACCCCGGAAUUGCCUUUAAGACUGCAUCGCUAGAAUCCGGGAGAGGUGAGUGGAAUUCCGAGUGUAGAGGUGAAAUUCGUAGAUAUUCGGAAGAACACCAGUGGCGAAGGCGACAUACUGGUCCGUUACUGACGCUGAGGCUCGAAAGCGUGGGGAGCAAACAGG